Fundulus heteroclitus (mummichog) is the source of this 1773-nucleotide long non-coding RNA. RefSeq lists it as uncharacterized. The record is from RefSeq and is a predicted model, not a curated record. NCBI's taxonomy places the organism in Eukaryota, Metazoa, Chordata, Actinopteri, Cyprinodontiformes, Fundulidae. The transcript has 2 exons.
AACUUGUCGCACUCUGCCAAAAAGGGAAAAAAACCAUAAAAUAAAUAAAGGAGAAUAGAAAUACUCCUCGUUAUUGUCAAGUAGUGUGAGAUCUGACACAGGGUAGUAACUCCACAGUCUGCUGAGAUCACGACGCGGGUUUAAACCCCCUCAUUUUACCUCCUCUCUGUCAUUCUGAGGGAACUGUGGUCUGGACGUGCUUACUGGAGCGUGUGCCGUGCGCGCAGGGCUUUAUGCUGCAGACGUUGUUGGCGGGGAAGGCACUGAACUGCCUAACAAAGAGAACUGGGGCUAGAGUUACGUCAACUGUCUAAACAGAAAACAGGAAAACAAACCAGACUGCAGAAGUUUGGUGAUACAGCAGCAAGCCCACAUCACUCUCUCACCUCUGAGUUUUUAGGAGUUUUUCUCCCCCACAUUUAAACUGAAGAAGUUACUUUUCCUCUCUCUGCAGCAUCACAGUGAUAAUUCACACCAAUUAGUCUAUAAUAUCACAGUGGUUUUGUAUUUCACAUUAAAAGAAUGUUGUGUAACAAUAGACUCUGUUUGGCUAUGAAUAACUGUUAAUAAAUUCCAAAGGCAAUUAUUAACAAAGUUAGUCAUUUUAAUCAAAAUUACCAGGUUGUGGCACCACCUGAUUAUCAGGAAUUAAUAGCCAAACAGCUCUCAGUCUCGGUCAGAUAUUGUUUUAUGAAUACCUGCCCGGUGAGGUGCGGUAUUAUUGAACAAUAGAUGAAGAAGUAAGAUUUGUGUACUGGAGUUCCCAAACAACAAGCCCUGCACACUCAUAUAGCAUAAACACAAACAGCUUCUCUCCAAAAUACAAACAUUUAUCAUCAGAAUAUUUCUACUUCAAGUUAAAGUGCUUCUGUCAACAAACUCUUCAGCAAUACUAAUAACGUUUAACUAGGCUACCCAGUAAAAAUUAAAAGAUUAAGGAAAACUAAUAAACCCCCCAAAAUAAAGAAAACUAAAUAAUAAAGCUGAAAUCAAUAAAUCAUGCAGUGAUAUCACAGUUCAGUGUUAUUGUGUAUGUUUAAAAACUAUUGAAUGUGGAAUGGGGCAAAAUUCUCUUAGUAAGAAGAAGAACUGGUUUGUGUUCAAACCAGUUCACAACACAAAGCAGAGGGAAAAAAAAAAAAACAUUCUUUUUAAUACGUUAACGUUUUGAAAAGCAGUUUUCUGAAUUAGCCAUCAACAACCUUUUGGACAACUGGUUCUUAAUGCUGCAUCAACUAGCCAUCGCAGGAAUUUAUAAACUACUAAGCUAAUGGCUCAAAGCAGAUAUGGACUCACAAUAUGGCCGUCGGGUGGCAGGCGUGGUGAUGUCACAUCCAGGAUUAGCGGCACAACUAACAUCAAAGAAAACAGUAGCUGCUGUGCUAUUUCACAACCCUUCUUAGUCCCAGCUGGACCUUUAGGUACCAUUAUUAAACAUAUUAAUGUGUGUAUGAGUGCUGGCGGCAUGCUACAGCUGCUUCGCAGCUCGAACAGAACGAGCUGUGUAGUAAACGAGACAGAACUUAUAGUGGCUACUGUUUCAGAAUUAGCAGAGCUGUGGCUCUAACAUUAGCAGCUGAGAUAACAGAGACAAAAUGUAGCAUAUUUAUAAGAACUCUGCGGACAUAUUAUAUGCAGAUUAGUGAGUGUGGGUCCCACUAACCCAGGAGUCUUUACUGGUCGUGAACUUUUGGAAACAAAUUUGUACCACUGGGCUCAGUGGCCUGUUAGCACUCAAGCUGUAAAGCACCACAAACAAAGUAAAGAAUGAAA